GACGAACGCUGGCGGCGUGCCUAAUACAUGCAAGUUGAGCGCUGAAGGUUGGUACUUGUACCAACGGAUGAGCAGCGAACGGGUGAGUAACGCGUGGGGAAUCUGCCUUUGAGCGGGGGACAACAUUUGGAAACGAAUGCUAAUACCGCAUAAAAACUUUAAACACAAGUUUUAAGUUUGAAAGAUGCAAUUGCAUCACUCAAAGAUGAUCCCGCGUUGUAUUAGCUAGUUGGUGAGGUAAAGGCUCACCAAGGCGAUGAUACAUAGCCGACCUGAGAGGGUGAUCGGCCACAUUGGGACUGGGACACGGCCCAAACUCCUACGGGAGGCAGCAGUAGGGAAUCUUCGGCAAUGGACGAAAGUCUGACCGAGCAACGCCGCGUGAGUGAAGAAGGUUUUCGGAUCGUAAAAACUCUGUUGGUAGAGAA
This 428-nucleotide ribosomal RNA is filed under the name Lactococcus lactis. RNAcentral's name for it is "bacterial SSU rRNA". It matches the Rfam family "Bacterial small subunit ribosomal RNA", at positions 28 to 446 of the family's 1533-position model. Lineage: Bacteria; Bacillati; Bacillota; Bacilli; Lactobacillales; Streptococcaceae. The record is from RNAcentral.